AUUGAACGCUGGCGGCAGGCCUAACACAUGCAAGUCGAACGGUAGCACAGAGAGCUUGCUCUUGGGUGACGAGUGGCGGACGGGUGAGUAAUGUCUGGGAAACUGCCUGAUGGAGGGGGAUAACUACUGGAAACGGUAGCUAAUACCGCAUAACGUCGCAAGACCAAAGAGGGGGACCUUCGGGCCUCUUGCCAUCAGAUGUGCCCAGAUGGGAUUAGCUAGUAGGUGGGGUAACGGCUCACCUAGGCGACGAUCCCUAGCUGGUCUGAGAGGAUGACCAGCCACACUGGAACUGAGACACGGUCCAGACUCCUACGGGAGGCAGCAGUGGGGAAUAUUGCACAAUGGGCGCAAGCCUGAUGCAGCCAUGCCGCGUGUAUGAAGAAGGCCUUCGGGUUGUAAAGUACUUUCAGCGAGGAGGAAGGCGAUACGGUUAAUAACCGUGUCGAUUGACGUUACUCGCAGAAGAAGCACCGGCUAACUCCGUGCCAGCCGCCGCGGUAA
RNAcentral lists this ribosomal RNA (504 nucleotides) under uncultured bacterium. Its description in RNAcentral is "partial 16S ribosomal RNA". It matches the Rfam family "Bacterial small subunit ribosomal RNA", at positions 30 to 523 of the family's 1533-position model. The record is from RNAcentral.